GUGGGCGGGGCCGCGGAGCAGGGAGCUCGGCGACAGACCGCGGGAUCUCAGCGAGGGGCCUGCUGGAUCGAGCGCUUCCUGCAGCCGCCUUUCUGCCGGCUCCUCCCCAGCGGGCAGGGGACUUGCCCAGGCAGCUGCCGCUCCACCCCGGGGCGCCAGGACUUCCCUCACCAGGAUCCAGGUCCCCGGCGCGGGCGGUGGAAGUCCUGGACCUUAAGGGCCACUGGGCUGUCGGCGGGGAGGGCGCCCCCUCGGGGGCAGGGCGAGCAUGGCAGCCGGCGUGCUCCUCCCCCCUCCUUCCUCCUGGGGUUCAGAUGAGGAAACCCAGGCCCAGAGAAGUCCGGAGUCUUUGGAGUCACACAGCUCGUCUCCCUGCUCGCCGAGCGCCCCUGGCGACAGUAAGAGUUAAUAUGUGCUUAGAUCUUUCCGCGAUCGUAAGCGCAGGUGCCCUUUUUACUCUCUGCUUUACAGUUGGAGAAACUGAGGCUCAGAAGUUAAGAACUACAAGGCUCUGCUCCUCGGGGAGCCAGGAAGGCUUGUCCUCCGCAAGGACUCCAAGAGUGAGGCUACUCCUGGCCCCAACCCCCCUUCCUAGCUGAUGCUCCCCUCCCAACUCCAAAAGGAAGUUCCCUUAGAUCUGACCCCUAUCCCUGCUGCUGCAGUCUCACCUCCAGCCAUCUUCUCACAGUUGCCUCUCAUGUUAUUUUUAUUUUUAAUUAAAAAGUACAUCCUGCUGGGGCUGUAGCUCAGGGGUAGAGCACCCGCCUCGCUGGGUUCGAUCCUCAGCACCACAUAAAAAUAAAG
This 804-nucleotide long non-coding RNA is filed under the name Marmota monax (woodchuck). Lineage: Eukaryota; Metazoa; Chordata; Mammalia; Rodentia; Sciuridae. The record is from RNAcentral.